UUGGCAGGGGGGCUGAGAGACAGAGACUUUCUACAAUCUCAGAAUCACCAAUAGCACAGAUUCUGACAGAAGUGGGGGUAAAGAAGAGCAUCAGAUGUCCAAGCGUUGCAGAUAUAGUAAUACAAACUUGGCACAGAAUGCAGUGAAAAUGUCAGCAGCCUCAGAAGUCUGAAAGGAUCCAGUGGAUGAAGCACCCUCCUCUGCCAGCAGCAAUAAAGGAGCUCCAGUGAGGACUUUUGGGGCUUUAAAGAGGAGCCUGUGCCUGUGUCCCAGCAGUGUGUGGGCAGGGGUGCAGUUUUCAGACAGUCACUGCCUGGGUGAGUGGAGAAAAUGCUGAAGCACUGAGAGAAAACCACUCCUGCAGAGCAGCAGAACUUGCCCAGAAGGAAGUUUCAUAGUGCAGCAAUUAACAGGUAAGUUAGGAGAGGACAA
Molecule: non-coding RNA, 432 nt
Organism: Lonchura striata (white-rumped munia)
Lineage: Eukaryota; Metazoa; Chordata; Aves; Passeriformes; Estrildidae
Source: RefSeq, a predicted model, not a curated record